UCAGCCUCCACCAAGAGGACAGGGGAGCAGCUCCAUAGGCAGGAACUGCAUGGACCAGAAAAUCGGCCAGCUGUUUGCACGUCCAAAGGCAAGUUAAGUGGCUACCUUCUCCUGGAGCUUCAAAUUACCUGAUCGGGUUUAAUACUUCUAAGUUCACCUGAGGAAGUCUUAAUCAUGAUCACACUACACAGACUCCAGACUACUAUGAAAAAUAGAUGAUGCAAAUGGCCCAGAUUAACAGAGGUAGAUGUCACACCCUGGGAAGAACACAUCUCUAACACAAGGAAAAGCAUGUCAUCUGACAAGACACUGCACCAAAGUUGGCACCAAAUCAUUUGGUAAACCAAGAUGAAAAGAGAAGUGCAGCUCAUGCAAAGAGAUGGAUUUUUUUAAAGAAUAAAAUAAAUUUUAAAAAAGUUUUACUUAUCCAGAUUCACCAGACUCACCAAAAUUCCCAGCUGUGCAUCAAAAGUAGUUGUAAAGGCCAAGAAAAUCAGCUUUCUGCUGCAUAUGGACUUUUACUCAAGCAAACAUAACUCAGACACAAAACCUCCCAUGUGUCUUUUAGCAUACAGUUAGUUACUGAGAAAGACGGAGUAAAACCUGUGGAAACAGGAAAGGGGAAAACAGAAGUGCUUGCAUCACAUCAAAUUACAAUGUAUUUCUACAUACUUUAUUCUUGCUUUUCAGCUGAUUUAGUGAAUAGCACUGGCUCUCACACGAUCUAAGAAGAGGUUGAGCUGCAUGGCUGGGAACAGGAGGUGCAAGACAGGUCCGUCUUUCAGUGGCAGUGAUGUACUGGCUCUGCUCAUCUGAGCUGAUUGAAAUGCUACUUCAUCUCUCACAGUGCAAAAUCAAUUGGAGUGACAGGAAUCAUUUUCCUAAACCAUUUAGGCUGUGUAAGAGCUCAUCUGCACAUUUCCUUUGUAACUUUGAACAAGCCCCAGUUUAAGCCAUUAAAUGAACACCUGAGGUAAGAAAAUCUGGCCAGUCAAAAUUCUCUCACCUUGCAGCAUUGCUAGAAGAGACACGUUCUUAAUCAGACAGAUAGAACAAACACUUAAAAAGU
Chiroxiphia lanceolata (lance-tailed manakin) is the source of this 1069-nucleotide long non-coding RNA. RefSeq lists it as uncharacterized. NCBI's taxonomy places the organism in Eukaryota, Metazoa, Chordata, Aves, Passeriformes, Pipridae. The record is from RefSeq and is a predicted model, not a curated record. The transcript has 3 exons.